RNAcentral lists this ribosomal RNA (469 nucleotides) under Shouchella clausii. Its description in RNAcentral is "bacterial SSU rRNA". It matches the Rfam family "Bacterial small subunit ribosomal RNA", at positions 966 to 1437 of the family's 1533-position model. Lineage: Bacteria; Bacillati; Bacillota; Bacilli; Caryophanales; Bacillaceae. The record is from RNAcentral.
GAACCUUACCAGGUCUUGACAUCCUUUGACCACCCAAGAGAUUGGGCUUCCCCUUCGGGGGCAAAGUGACAGGUGGUGCAUGGUUGUCGUCAGCUCGUGUCGUGAGAUGUUGGGUUAAGUCCCGCAACGAGCGCAACCCUUGAUUUUAGUUGCCAGCAUUGAGUUGGGCACUCUAAGGUGACUGCCGGUGACAAACCGGAGGAAGGUGGGGAUGACGUCAAAUCAUCAUGCCCCUUAUGACCUGGGCUACACACGUGCUACAAUGGAUGGUACAAAGGGCAGCGAAACCGCGAGGUGAAGCCAAUCCCAUAAAGCCAUUCUCAGUUCGGAUUGCAGGCUGCAACUCGCCUGCAUGAAGCCGGAAUUGCUAGUAAUCGCGGAUCAGCAUGCCGCGGUGAAUACGUUCCCGGGUUUGUACACACCGCCCGUCACACCACGAGAGUUUGUAACACCCGAAGUCGGUGAGGCA